GCUGGGCAUGGUGGCUCAUGCCUGUAAUCCCAGCACUUUGGGAGGCUGAGGAAGGAGGAUCACUUGAAAUCAGGAGUUCAGGACCAGCCUGAGUAAAAAAGUGAGACCCUGUCUCUA
Molecule: unclassified non-coding RNA, 117 nt
Organism: Macaca fascicularis (crab-eating macaque)
Lineage: Eukaryota; Metazoa; Chordata; Mammalia; Primates; Cercopithecidae
Rfam family: Metazoan signal recognition particle RNA
About the family: The signal recognition particle (SRP) is a universally conserved ribonucleoprotein. It is involved in the co-translational targeting of proteins to membranes.
Source: Ensembl